RNAcentral lists this ribosomal RNA (495 nucleotides) under uncultured bacterium. RNAcentral's name for it is "partial 16S ribosomal RNA". It matches the Rfam family "Bacterial small subunit ribosomal RNA", at positions 28 to 507 of the family's 1533-position model. The record is from RNAcentral.
GAUGAACGCUGGCGGCGUGCCUAAUACAUGCAAGUCGAGCGAACAGACGAGGAGCUUGCUCCUCUGACGUUAGCGGCGGACGGGUGAGUAACACGUGGAUAACCUACCUAUAAGACUGGGAUAACUUCGGGAAACCGGAGCUAAUACCGGAUAAUAUAUUGAACCGCAUGGUUCAAUAGUGAAAGACGGUUUUGCUGUCACUUAUAGAUGGAUCCGCGCCGCAUUAGCUAGUUGGUAAGGUAACGGCUUACCAAGGCAACGAUGCGUAGCCGACCUGAGAGGGUGAUCGGCCACACUGGAACUGAGACACGGUCCAGACUCCUACGGGAGGCAGCAGUAGGGAAUCUUCCGCAAUGGGCGAAAGCUUGACGGAGCAACGCCGCGUGAGUGAUGAAGGUCUUCGGAUCGUAAAACUCUGUUAUUAGGGAAGAACAAAUGUAAGUAACUAUGCACGUCUUGACGGUACCUAAUCAGAAAGCCACGGCUAACUACGUG